This is an RNA transcript of Capra hircus (goat), 2926 nucleotides long. RefSeq lists it as uncharacterized. The transcript has 4 exons. The record is from RefSeq and is a predicted model, not a curated record. Lineage: Eukaryota; Metazoa; Chordata; Mammalia; Artiodactyla; Bovidae.
CUUGGUUAUCUAGUGGCUACAGUCCGCCUGUCACAGAGCCAGUGCAUGAGCACCCUGAGUCAGGGAAAUCUGGUGGUUUGGAUCAGCUGGGGACAGGGUUAACGACUAGGAACAGGUCAUCUACUGGGCAUAGUCAAAUUGGGACAGGGUCAUCUAGAGGGAAUGGCCAGUCUGGGGCAAGGCCAACAAAUGGUCAGCCUGGGCCUGAAAAAUCUGCUGGUGACAAUCAGUUUGAGGCAAGAUCAUCUGGAAGCAGUGGCCAGUCUGAUUAUGGGUCAUCUCAUCAUCUUAGUCAGUCUGAAACUAGACCAGUGAAUGGACGGGAUCAGCCUAGAGCUGGGUCAUCCGGUGCAUCAGGUCAGUCUAGGGCUGGUUUGAUGAGUGGUCAGCUUGAGCCUGGACCAUCUGAUGGCUCUGUUCAAUCUGGGGCUGAAUCAGUAGGAGGAAACAGUCAGCUUGGAGGAAAGGUAUCUAAUCAUGUUCAUUCAGGGACCUCAUGAUCCAUAGAUUCUGGUCAUUUAGGGGCAGGAAUAACUGUUGGCCACAGUCACUUUGGAAGUGGGUCACAUAAUCAUCAUGGCAGGUCUGAGGCUGGGACAUCCUUAGGUCAUGGGCAGUCAGGACAUGGCAACUCUGACCACCCUGGCUCCACUGGAGAAGUAAAAUGGGGAAACACUGGCCACAUGGGAACCCCAGUGGAUGGCAAGACUCCCCAUCAUGGGAGACCAGUUAACAGCAAUGCGUUGCUUCCACCAGCUCAUGACAGCCUAGGAGGAGGCACUGGAAUGGGAUCUGGAAACCCUCCCAGCCAAACAAAUGCUCUCAACAAAGACAUCUUGGCUCAGGAAGGGCUGCUGGGAGCCAUCCUUCUCAACAACCAGCAUCUGAUUAGGGAGCAUGAAAGUCUACUUAAGAUCCUCCUGGGCAGCAAGGCCUUACCUGCUGGCGAAGAUCACCUCCUGGAGGCAGCUGGGUCCUUGGCUCUGGAAGGCUUGCUCUGCAAGGGUUCUCUAGGGGGCGUCUGUGGCCAUGGGAGUCUUGAUGACAUCAAUGAUGUUCUAAAGAGCACGGUUCAUUUUGGGAAACUCAACAGCUGAUGUCCAGUCCUUUGGCUUGUUUAGGAACCUCCACUCUCCUUUCUCCAGGCUGCCCACAUCAUCUGAGCCGUAUUACUGCCUGGACUUUCAGAUGAGGAAACGGAGUCUUAGAGAGACUGCCUGGCCCACUCCCACACAGCUGGAAGGAGGCAGAGUGAGUUCGAACCCAGGUCUUCCGGUGAGAGCAAGAGGAGCUGGAAGACAGCACAUCUCUGUGAACAACCCGAGAAUCCCCGUGGGCGCGGAGGAGAGUCACGUGGAGCCAGAUGGGGUUACAAAGAAGGAAGAGCAAAGGGGUCAGAGCGGCCUUCGGUUCUUGCGAAAGUAUCUGCGGGGCCCUCAACACCCAAAGCCCCUGGCCCAGAAUCAGUGAUCCCGGGAGGCCUCCAGAUGCCAAAGGACCCACAGUGGGAGGCUCUCAGGAGAGAACCCCACCACGACUUUCCUUCCUUCAGGCAGCGAAUAGAUUCAGCUCACAUCUACGUGAAUCUGAUUUAUGCAAAUCUGAAACAGUGUCCUGCAAAAUACGAAUGAAGUUUCACGUUGUGAACAGAAAGUUAAUUUUUCUCAUUGUUAAGAACGCACAAUGGAACACGCUCCAGGCCCUCCUUUAUGGAAAAAUCAAGGUCCCUCCCUCAAGUCCACAAUCCCUCCAGUUUUCUCCUCCCCUCCCUCUACCGCUUCACAGCCAGUUUCCCCAGAGCGGGGGUUUCUCAGCCUGGAACAGCCUUCUCAGCCCCGGACUCUUGUAAAAAUGCAGCGUCUGGUCAGUUGGUCCGGGCUGCCGCCUAAGAUUCAACGUUUCCUCAAAACUUCCUGGAGAAGCUGAUACUGCUAGUCCACAGGUCACCCCUCAAGCAACACACUUGUUUGGGACACGUUCACACCUCCACCCACCCAUUUUCACUGGUCACCCUACCAACUCAGCGCUCAUCAGGCACUCAACAGUCUCCACGUGGAGGAAACCACGUGUCAGCCUCAUCUUACUUGAUCGCACUACAGACAUCACUUCCUUCUCCUUGAAAUCAGUCCUUCCCUCGGCCACGCCCCCUUGCCUGUUCUCCCACCCUGCUAAGCAUUCUACCUCUGCCCCUUUGCAGGCAUAAUGUUUUCAUAUUGGCCAAUCAGUGAAUGUCUUCACCCCCACCACUGUGAUUGGCUCAGAGCUUGGCAUAUGAUCCCAGCUGGACCAAUGGGGAUCAGACCUAGACUUUUGAAGGGAUAAUAGGAAAGAGAUAGUGCUCUUUCUGCCAGGGUUGUUAAGAGAGAAAGUGAGGCUGACGGCUUCUCUACUACCCUUUGGGGAGGGUCUGUUCGAGAAUGAAGCCACUGAAGAAGAAAGCAGAUCCAAGUCACAGAGAGAAACCGUCCAGAAACUUUCCUUUGAGCAUUUGGAUUCAGCCAUGUCUGAAACCCUUUGACCUUUGAGUUAACAUGAGUCAAUGACUCCCUUUUACACUUAAGUCAGUUUGGGUUGUGUUUUCCGUUACAAAUAACCCAAUAAUCCUGACAGAUGCCAUUGACAAGCAAAUUUCAGCUCAUUCUGUGUAAGCCAUCCUGGGAAACAAGAGAUGAAUCUCAGACUUUAGCCUCCCAGAAUUGAAAGUUGUGUGUGUGUGUGUGUGUGUGUGUGUGUGUGUGUGUGUGUGUAGAAAAGGAAGAGACCUAUUCAAAAGCUAUAAGGUAGAAAAUUAAGAAGGGCCAUCUGGGUGGAUCAAUGAGGAUUUCAUACGGGACGUGUUGUGAAGGAUCGGGGAGAUUUGCAGGGUGUGACAUCCUUAGACCUGGGACUGAGAAUGGGGAGCAGUUGAUGGAAAGCAGGGCUGGGA